AGCAGCCGCGGUAAUUCCAGCUCCAAUAGCGUAUAUUAAAGUUGUUGCAGUUAAAAAGCUCGUAGUUGAAUUUCGGGGUCAGUAGGCUGGUCGUGCCACAGGUAUGUACUGGUCUUACUGAUUCCUCCUUCCUGAUGAACCGUAAUGCCAUUAAUUUGGUGUUGCGGGGAAUCUGGACUGUUACUUUGAAAAAAAUUAGAGUGUUUAAAGCAGGCUCACGCUUGAAUACAUUAGCAUGGAAUAGUGAAAUAGGACGUUUGAUUCUAUUUUGUUGGUUUCUAGGAUCGACGUAAUGAUUAAUAGGGAUAGUUGGGGGCAUUAGUAUUCAAUUGUCAGAGGUGAAAUUCUUGGAUUUAUUGAAGACUAACUACUGCGAAAGCAUUUGCCAAGGAUGUUUUCAUUAAUCAAGAACGAAAGUUAGGGGAUCGAAGACGAUCAGAUACCGUCGUAGUCUUAACCAUAAACUAUGCCGACUAGGGAUCGGAUGAUGUUAAUUUUUAAUGA
Molecule: ribosomal RNA, 504 nt
Filed under: uncultured Glomus
Lineage: Eukaryota; Fungi; Glomeromycota; Glomeromycetes; Glomerales; Glomeraceae
Description: SSU rRNA
Rfam family: Eukaryotic small subunit ribosomal RNA
Source: RNAcentral